Molecule: long non-coding RNA, 3439 nt
Organism: Ruditapes philippinarum (Manila clam)
Lineage: Eukaryota; Metazoa; Mollusca; Bivalvia; Venerida; Veneridae
Exons: 2
Source: RefSeq, a predicted model, not a curated record
UUCUUCUUUUUUUCUUCUGAUUUUUGGUUUGUUUUUAUGUGAAUUACAAACCACAUCGUGACUUUAGAACAUAGCCCUAACACAACUAUAUAUAUUUACAGCUGAUACGUUCAUAUUGAACGGGGCUAGAAAUGACGUCGUGCGCAAUAUGUACAACUUGAAAAAUAAUACAGAAAACGUCUUGCAAAAGGAAAUAUUGGAAACAGGUUCACAGUUUGGAGAGAGAAAUGUACACAAGAAAAUACCUGCAUUAAAAGAUGCCACAUUAGCAAUAGAAGAAUUACUUCACAAAUUGAAAGCUGCACAAAGAUCUUACUCAAACAAAAAUAGUGGUCGCUUAAGAAGGACAGUUAACCAAAACGGAUGGUGGUGGUUUUGUCCCUGGUGUGGCGGAAGUAAAGUCAUUAUCACAGAUGAUUGUAAAUGCAGUCCAAACACGAACAAUUCGUGCAACUGUCCAAAUGCACGUGUACGUAAUGGUGAUUUGAGUAAUAAUUGAUGAUACAGGUAGAAUUCGACAUUGUGAGAUUUUAGUACAAAUUUUCAGUUCAAUUUCUAUAACUCGGGGUUUCCUGUGGACAAUGAAGUAAAAUUUCAGCUUAUACAUGUACAUGCUAAAUAAAUGCAUUAAAGAAUAGUCUAUUAACUUAGAAAGAGUUGUUAUGUGAUUGAUAUAUCUCGUUUGACGAACUUGUAUGUCAUUUGCUCCGAAAGUAUUUCUUUCUUAUUUCAAAACUUUUAGUCAGACACAUGGAGGGAAAUAACUUUCUAUUCAUAAUCACCAAUAUCUACAUGAGUUGUAUCCCUUUAAUUGAAAAAAGUAACGCAUCAUGACCUGGUACGGAUGAUAACAACACGGUCAUCUUGUUGCGGAUGCGCAGGCUGGUCUGGAUCCAUGCUGGUCGCAAACCCAUUAUGUAGGUUUUGUCGUGACACGGCUCAUUUAUCGGAUUGCACAGUUUUUAGAUAUCCAACAUUUGUAUGAAACAGGACUGUUCAUUUGUGUUGAACAGAACAGCGUUCUCAAGUGUCUGUACAAAUCUCCUUUCAAAACCCGACCUGUAAUACGAGACUUCACUAAAAUGUGUGUAUUUUCCGGAAAUUGAAUAAUGACUGAAUUUUAUCUAUAUAUUGCAAACCCAAACACACCUCAUAUUUCAUGUGUGAUUUAUGAGUGACUAUAUCAAAUGAAUAUUGUAACGUGCUCCACAUUCAAGACAAUACACUUUGCGUUCUGUAUGAUUCCGCUUUGCCUGGUUUGAUUGCUAAUUACUAAAGCCUACUAGAAUACAAAUAUUGGCAUUGUUACUGAAAUUAGGUAUAUAGAAUAAGACAGAAUGAAAUGAAUGUAAAACAAUCCUUUAGAAAUAAGCUAAACUAAUGUAGUAUUUUACUUACUAUAGGAUAUUGUUUAGUUAUAAAUUAGAUAUACAUGUAUGCUUAAGAAUAUGAAAUAUGUAUGGCACCUGAGAUCUUCCUCUACCAGUAAAGUAAGAAAGUCGCCAUAUGACCUAUACUGUGUUUGUGCAACAUAAAACCCAACAAACAAACAAAAAUUCAGCCAUUGCUCUUAACUUUACAUGCUGAGUUUGUGGAAUGGAUGUUCCCUGUUAUAAAACUUGAACAAUCCAUUUGAAUUAUGAAGAAUUCAUUAACAAAAUACAAAAGGGAUCAAUUUAAAUGAUAAACGUUUUUAUUCCUCAGUUGCGUCCGUCGUAUCAUGUGGGAGGUAAAAUCCAAUUCAACUGAGAUUAAAAAGCCUAAAACAUAAUUUUGAUAUUUUUUUUACAUAAAUCAAGUGGAGCAUUUAAAAUGGAAAAAAUCUGUACAAAAUAAAUAUUGUCAGAGUUGAAUUGCAAAUCUGUAUGUGUGCGCUUCUUAGCCCGAUUUAUGUGAAAAAUGUUGCAACGCUUUUCAAUUUUGGGCUAUUUUGUACAAAGAAAAAGAUUAUUCUAAAAAAGCGGUGUGAGAGAAUGAUCUAAAAAUUUGAACACAAGUUAUUGAUUCAGACCAAUAUCAAAUGGUAUACAAAUCAUGAAAAAAUAAUUUCAGUGCCGGCAUGGCGGAGUCCCUGUAAGGAUAACAGACCCUAAUGGGCACCAAUGUUAAUCAGCUUGUUCUAUUCUUUUCUAAAUAAAAUAAAACAUUUCAUUUUUCAAACAUGCCACACCCUCUCUUAUCAUUUUUGGCCAAUUUUCAAUCACCAAUAUUUAGAGGAAUUAAUUUGCAUAUGAAAUAAUUUUUGGUAGAUAUUACUUUUGUUUUUAUUUUCAUUUUCAUUUUGAACCAAUACAUUUUUACAAAGUGACUUACAGUAACAAAUGACCAUAGCUUUCAACAAUAACCAUCUUAAAUAAAUGCACGCAUACAGUAAAUAUAUAUAGGACCAAAUCUUAAUUGACAAAUGGAACAGCUGUUAUUGUUUGAUAAUGUUGUUUAGUGUGUGUAUUUUUAUUGUUUAGAAUGCUAUAUCUAAAAUUAAGAUAUGUUAUUUGUGGUUUAUGAGGGUGUUUCAUCAUGUGUUACCUUCUUUAAGUAAUUAUUAUUAUUAUUAUUAUUAUUAUUAGUGUUGUUGUUGUUAUUGCAGUAAAACAGACUUCCCUUUGCACAGGCUCACGAAUAAUACUUACAAACAGUGAACUUGUGUCGAAAAUAUUAAACACUUAAAUAAAAAAAUAUCUGCAGAUAAAUAUAUAUGUAAACAAGUUGUAAAAAUAUAAAACACUUUUACGAACUUUACGAAGUUUUUGCUAUAGCAGCUUGAUACAUACUUUUUUUGCUUGGUCAGAGUUUCUAACUUGCGUUAUAAAACAUCAUUUAUAUACCUUUUUCUAUUUUUUUAACACAAUCAUUCUUUUUUUUACACACAUUGGCUUAUUCCUUAAGAAAAAAUGUUAACAUCACUAAUAAAGACACUAAAAAAAUUCAGUUGUUUGGACCGGGAUUCGAACGCCGAACGCUUAUACCCUAACUUUGGUCCACGAACUUCCAAUUUCAGGUAAGGAAAAAGUCAGAAGCAAACCAAACGAUUCUUUAUUUAGAAUUUUAAUUAAACUAAAGUGAUAAAAGUACACAAAUCCACAUUAUAAUCACUAUUCCGUGUAAGUGGGAAGCUCCUUUGUUUUUGCACUGUAUAUUUGGGGGCAUACUAACAUUUCAAAAGAGAGAGAAAUGUGCCCAGAUUUACGAAUAUUAUAAUGUAUCUAAAUUUUAAAUAUUGAAUUAGUAUUUUUAGAUCCAUAGUGUAAGCCUGAACAAUAAUUUUUCUCCAACUACAACACAUGUAUCGUAAUUCAUACAUUGUACUGCAUAUUUCUCAUUCUCUACCUCCAAUGUUGUCGUGUGCCACCAUUUUUAUAUAAAUGUUUAUGUUUUUUUUAAACUCAGCACAAAUGUUACAAUUAUAUAGUAGAAUAUAGAUGUAGUCAUUUUUUCACUA